This is a non-coding RNA of Mycena floridula, 89 nucleotides long. NCBI's taxonomy places the organism in Eukaryota, Fungi, Basidiomycota, Agaricomycetes, Agaricales, Mycenaceae. The record is from the annotation of a GenBank genome assembly.
CCCGCCUUAGCUCAGUUGGUAGAGCGCGAGACUGUAAUAGGAAAAUAGUCUUCAUCUUGAGGUCGCCUGUUCGACCCAGGCAGGCGGGA